CAUGAAGAUAUACAUUGAAAAUAUUAAACCAACUGUUGAAUAUUAGGCUAAUCAGUUUUAGCAUCCCUCAGUGAACAAAAUUAUUUCAGGUCAUCCAGGCCUUUGGAUUUAUUUAUUGUGAUACUGAUGAGAACUACAAACUUCAGAUGAAGAUUUACAACAACCAGAGGUUAUCACUUGCUGACUGUACUUGCUAACAAUCGGCAGAAGUAUUUCUUCACUAUUUUACAAAAUCACAUUAAUACCUGUAUGAUGGGGAGAAGUAACACCGUAUGAGGGUUUGCAAUACUGAAUGACCUUUAUGUGUUGCCAAUGACGUAUCACAUGGAUGACUCGAGUUUCUCAGAUGAUCUGGGUACUCCAUCCAUCUGUAGUCCCACGGGCAACGUAGAAGCUCCAGUGAGAUUGACAUUUUACCAUGCAGAAUUUUUGGGGUUAAGCACAGACAUUAGACAAUAUAAUGACCCAUAACACAUUAAUCUACCAGUACAACAAUUGCAAGAAUUAUAACAAUGGGUAUUCAACAGACAUUGGGGUCAAGUUCAAGGUAAUAAACUACUCAUUCAGCCAUAUAUGAAUUAUGGAGAGGGAGAGAGAGCAGUCAUGAAGCAUAUGAAUUUUCUCAAUGUUUCUCCAAUUGGAAAAGUCAAAACAUUUACCAGGGACAAACAUUAAUUUAGUGAAGUGAUAUUUUCCAAAUUAAAAAUAUGACAUAUUUUCAUGCCAAAAUUGACUAAACAGAAUUCACCCAAUUUUUUUUGCAAAUGACUGAAAUACAUUACCUAACGAAGGACAAGUUUCGUUAGGUAACGAAUUUCUAACGAAUUUUAUUUCCAAAUUUUGCAACUACUUAUGAAUUUCGUUGCAAAAAGUGAAAGCCGGACACAAUCCGCAACGAAGGACAAGUUUCGUUCCUAAACAUACACUUUUAGCAACGACUUAUAAAGUCGUUGCCUGAAAAAUCGUUGCUAAAGCCCCAUAUUUAGCAACAAAAAAACUUUCGUUGCCCACGAUGACGGGAAAGCAAGUGACCGAAAAUUUUUCAACGAAUUUCUAACGAAAUUUUUUCUCGCCAAUGAAUUAGCAACGAAAUUUUGCAACGACUUAUGAAUUUCGUUGCAAAAAGUGAAAGCCUGACACAAUCUGCAGCGAAGGACAAAUUUCAUUGCUAAACAUAUACUUUUAGCAACAACUUAUAAAGUCGUUGCCCGAAAAAUCGUUGCUAAAGGCCCAUUUUUUUGUAGUGUAUAAGCUGAUUUUCACUAAUAACCCAACUUAUUUUUUGACUUAUAAACUAACUUAUAAGUUUGAGGAGUAACUAUUUUUUAUUUCUCAAAAUAUGACUUAUGAGUUAUUUUAAAAUAAGUAAAUUUGACCUUUUAUCUUUAUUUUAAUAGUUUUUAUAUUUUAUUUUAAUUUAAUUUUUUACGUAUAAGUCAAAAUAGUGUCCAACAUUUUUAUUCAUUUUAAAUUUUUAAUAGGUUGACUAUAAUUUGAAAUUGAGGAUCACAAUAGUAAUUUUCACGAGUACAUAGUAAUAUUUUUUUAAAAAAAAUUAUGACAAAAAGGAAAUGACUAGGUGGAAGAACUAUCUACUAGAAGAACUAUCUACUGGAAAUAAUAAACUUACUAGGUGGAAGAACUAUCUACUGGAAGACAUGCAUAUAAAUGGUUAUGCUGAUUAUACAAUGACUACUUCAGACAUAUAAUGGUAUAUAGAAAUCUCAACAAGUAUGCCAUAAUCUAUAAAUAUCUUAAUACAUGGAGAGACAGUGAAACGACUAAAAACUCUUGGUUAUUAUGGACAGCUUAGUAUGAAACUACUAGAGGCAAUUUCAGUUAUUUUAGUUUCUGAAAGACAAUUCAGCUUCAAGUGGGUAAAUUGUCAAAAACUUUCGGGACAAUGAGCCCAAAAAGAUUGGUUAGUA
RNAcentral lists this long non-coding RNA (1928 nucleotides) under Panax ginseng (ginseng). RNAcentral's name for it is "long non-coding RNA (PGIN_LNC005013)". The record is from RNAcentral. Lineage: Eukaryota; Viridiplantae; Streptophyta; Magnoliopsida; Apiales; Araliaceae.